ACACACACACACACACACACACACACAUAUAUAAUAUAUAGUUGGUGUGAGGGUUUGGACGGUGUGAUUGGACGGUGUGAGGGGUUUAGUUAGUGUGAGGGAUUUAGUUAGUGUGAGGGGUUUAGUUAGUGUGAGGGUCUGGACAGUGUGAUUGGAUGGUGUGAGGGGUUUAGUUAGUGUGAGGGUCUGGACAGUGUGAUUGGACGGUGUGAGGGGAUUAGUUGGUGUGAGGGUCUGGACUGUUGUGAGGGUCUGGACAGUGUGAUUGGACGGCGUGAGGGGAUUAGUUGGUGUGAGGGUCUGGACAGUGUGAUUGGACGGUGUGAGGGGAUAAGUUAGUGUGAGGGUCUGGACAGUGUGAUUGGAUGGUGUGAGGGGAUUAGUUAGUGUGAGGGUCUGGACAGUGUGAUUGGACCUUGUGAGGGGAUUAGUUGGUGUGAGGGUGUGGACGGUGUGAUUGGACGGCGUGAGGGGAUUAGUUGGUGUGAGGGUCUGGACAGUGUGAUUGGACGGCGUGAGGGGAUUAGUUGGUGUGAGGGUCUGGACAGUGUGAUUGGACGGUGUGAGGGGUUUAGUUAGUGUGAGGGUCUGGACAGUGUGAUUGGAUGGUGUGAGGGGAUUAGUUGGUGUGAGGGUGUGGACGGUGUGAUUGGACGGCGUGAGGGGAUUAGUUAGUGUGAGGGUCUGGACAGUGUGAUUGGACGGUGUGAGGGGAUUAGUUGGUGUGAGGGUGUGGACGGUGUGAGGGGAUAAGUUAGUGUGAGGGUCUGGACAGUGUGAUUGGAUGGUGUGAGGGGAUUAGUUGGUGUGAGGGUGUGGACGGUGUGAUUGGACGGCGUGAGGGGAUUAGUUAGUGUGAGGGUCUGGUCUCUGUGAGGGGUUUAAUAAUUUGGUAAAGGAAAAGGUGGAAUGUUAAGACCGUUCUUGUUUUGCACCUUAUGAAAGAGAAGACGUGUCUGUAAACUGUGUGUAGCAGCGUAUCUGCGUAACGGUUACGGGUUUGUUUACCGCAGUAUGUCACCGUGCUGUAAUUCACCCUGUCAGUGUUUCAUGCACACGGAAGGCGCGCUGGAAGACGAGCUGCGCCUCAGAGUGAAAACGCCCGCCACGCCCGAUGUUUACUAACGGCUCGCUCUACCCUCAGGUUUCGCACGGAUUAAAGUCUCAAACCAGAACCUCUUCCCCGACCAGAACCCGGACCAGUGCUGUAGAAGUUCCCGUAAUCCGGCGGGUUGUUGCGUCGACCUUUCAGUGAACUGGGAUUACACCGUGCUUUAACGGCUGCGUAUAAAAGUCCGAGUCCACUCCGCACCUCGUUCCCUCAGUGAUGCGAGAUAAAUACAGCUUUGUGUAGAUCUGUUUGUUCAGAAUGCUUGUCCCCACACGCUCCACGCAGAGGGGGGAACCGACUCCAUCACGGGUUUAGCUGGAAGGAGACGACGGUUAGCGCCGGGUGUGUAGAUGUGGAACUGGCUGAUUGCCUAGAGCUUUGUGACGGAGCAGAAACGAUCGACGAGGCGAGACGAGACGAGCAGGCCCGCUAUCACGAAAUCCUUCCCGUCUCUCCGAGCCCAUGCACAGUUUAGAUCGGGGGCGUUCAGGUGAAAUUCCUGACCAGAGGUCCGGCUGCGGGAAAGCUCCCGCUAAGAAAACGGUCCGAAUGAGCGAGUAACCCGGCUGCACCGUUCGAGUCGCCGUUCACGUUCAACCGUCAAUUCUCGUUUCUUUCCAUUUAUUCUGCGGGAACACGCCGUCUUUUCUCGAUGAGCUGCCUUCAGCGAGAUCGUUUACAUAAAUGCAUGCGAUCGCCCGCAACAUGUUUUCGAAACCUGGAGUUGCUGAACUAGUCUGUCUUUAUUUAUUUAUUUAUUUAUUUAUUUAUUUCCCAAUUUGUUUAUCAGUUCUGCGACAGGAAUUUUUUUUCAGUAUUUCCCGAGCUACAUCUGGCCCAUCGGUUAACGAGCCUGAUUUCCACCCCGCAUCAGAGACGUACCGAUGUAUCGGACCAUGAUUAUCGUCCGAUAUCGCUCUGAAUAACUGGUCCUGGCUGAGAGAUUUAGCACCGGCGCAGCUCUACCCUGCAUUCGGAGCCACGGCCUCUGCGGUGAGCAGCAGAACGGUUGCAGAGGUCUCAGGUUCACAUUUUCGCUUUAAAGGAAAUGACGACAGGAAGUGAAGAAGGCAGGAGAAGUGAGAGGUGUCGACAGGCCCCUUUUCAAGAAAGUCACGGCCCCUGAGCCGUCCUGCUGUGUGAACGCACGCUCUGUGUGCGUGUCUCGGUCUGCGUUCGUGUCUGGUGACUCGGUAUGGGGAAACGAGUCCUCGUAGGUGUGUGUUCGUGUAAAUGCGGAGUGCGCGCGGAUGGAAUUGAAAAACGAUGUCGCGUGUGUCUGAACGUUGACCGGGAGGACGUUUUAGAUUUCGUCACCGUAUGACCGUAAACCUUAUUAACGCUCCGGACUCUGCAUUUUCCAGCCACGUUCGACGUCACGUUAACGUGAAAUCCGACGUGGAGAUGCUGGGGCGGACGUCGGACUCGACGACGCGUCCGUGCUCGGGCGGUCGGCGAUCCGCUGGAUGACGAGCUCGCGGCGGAAGCUGAAGGACUAAAGCUGUGCCGCAUCACCAAUAAAAACACCCCCCCAAGACCUGCCGCUCCGGAGACGCUCCGACCCAGACGUCUAGCCGUCACAAUCCGAUCCUCGUCAAAGUCUCUCGGAUCCUUCCGCUUGCGCGUUUUUCCCGCGUCCAACACGUCAACCUCGAGAACUGACCGUUCACUCUCUGCCUAAUAAAUCAAUCCCGCCCCUCCACAGGCGCCGCGGGUAACGAGAUCAUCGACGACAUUCACUUCACCGUCAUGAAGAAAUAUUUGCUUCCGCUGUCCAAAAGAGAAAUGAAAAUAGCGAGCCAUGCUUCUUACGUUUGUGGCAUGUCGUCAGACGCCCUGAUCCAGAGCGACGUACGCUUCUCUCAUUCAUGCACGUGAGCAGUUGAGGGUUAAGGGUCUCGCUCCGGGACCCAGACGGCGUCGCUUAGCAGUGCUGGGGCUUGACCUCCUGACCUCCUGACCUCCUGAUCAGUAACCCAGAGCCUUUAACCACUGAGCCAGCACUGUCCUUUUAAUAAAUAACUUUGUUUUUGUAAAAUAUUGCGAUUUUUUUUUUUUUCUUCCUUUCUGACCGAGUAACUGAACUCUCACGUUGGUGUCAUGU
Molecule: long non-coding RNA, 3215 nt
Organism: Ictalurus punctatus (channel catfish)
Lineage: Eukaryota; Metazoa; Chordata; Actinopteri; Siluriformes; Ictaluridae
Source: Ensembl